AUGGAAGCGCUCGCUGUCGCUGGUGGCAAGCCGCUGUCGGGGGCGCGGGCGCGGCGGAUCGCCAGGAGCCGGGAGGAGAUGCUGGGCCUCCUUGCUGACUUCGACGGCGGCGACGGCUCCGACCGCGAGCUCUCCUUCUCCGACCUCGUCGACGCCGUCAGGCCGCCGCCCAACGCCGGCCACGCCUCGGUGUCGCUGCCGGCACCAGUCGGGGUCGAAGCAGAGGCGGCCGAGCAGAGGCGGGAGGAUGCCCCGCCGUCCAAGAAGCAGCAGCAGGCGGCGGGGAAGGAGAAGAGGAGGCUGCGGAGGCGGCCGAGCGACAACAGGGGCAGCUGCGGAGGAGGCGCGGACGGCAACGGCGUGCUGCUCAACUUCUACGUUCCGGGGCUGCUCACCCGGAGCAUGACGGCGCCGCGCCCCGGCCCCGGCCGGGGGCUGAUGCCGGCCGCGGGGACCCGGCAGAGCGCGCCGCCGACGGUUGCUGCCGGCAAAACCAGGAUGCAGGCGUCGCUGGACAUCGGCUGCUGGCCGGCGCUGUGGGGCAGAGGCCGCGACCACCACCGUAACAAGCCAGUCUGA
This 579-nucleotide ribosomal RNA is filed under the name Triticum aestivum (bread wheat). RNAcentral's name for it is "partial small subunit ribosomal RNA". The record is from RNAcentral. Lineage: Eukaryota; Viridiplantae; Streptophyta; Magnoliopsida; Poales; Poaceae.